Molecule: ribosomal RNA, 1482 nt
Filed under: metagenome
Description: bacterial SSU rRNA
Rfam family: Bacterial small subunit ribosomal RNA
Source: RNAcentral
AGAGUUUGAUCCUGGCUCAGAUUGAACGCUGGCGGCAUGCCUUACACAUGCAAGUCGAACGGUAACAGGUUAAGCUGACGAGUGGCGAACGGGUGAGUAAUGUAUCGGAACGUGCCCAGUCGUGGGGGAUAACUACUCGAAAGAGUGGCUAAUACCGCAUGAGACCUGAGGGUGAAAGCGGGGGAUCGCAAGACCUCGCGCGAUUGGAGCGGCCGAUAUCAGAUUAGCUAGUUGGCGGGGUAAAAGCCCACCAAGGCGACGAUCUGUAGCUGGUCUGAGAGGACGACCAGCCACACUGGGACUGAGACACGGCCCAGACUCCUACGGGAGGCAGCAGUGGGGAAUUUUGGACAAUGGACGAAAGUCUGAUCCAGCCAUGCCGCGUGCGGGAAGAAGGCCUUCGGGUUGUAAACCGCUUUUGUCAGGGAAGAAACGACGUCCUCUAAUACAGGGUGUUAAUGACGGUACCUGAAGAAUAAGCACCGGCUAACUACGUGCCAGCAGCCGCGGUAAUACGUAGGGUGCAAGCGUUAAUCGGAAUUACUGGGCGUAAAGCGUGCGCAGGCGGUUAUGCAAGACAGAUGUGAAAUCCCCGGGCUCAACCUGGGAACUGCAUUUGUGACUGCAUGGCUAGAGUACGGUAGAGGGGGAUGGAAUUCCGCGUGUAGCAGUGAAAUGCGUAGAUAUGCGGAGGAACACCGAUGGCGAAGGCAAUCCCCUGGACCUGUACUGACGCUCAUGCACGAAAGCGUGGGGAGCAAACAGGAUUAGAUACCCUGGUAGUCCACGCCCUAAACGAUGUCAACUGGUUGUUGGGAGGGUUUCUUCUCAGUAACGUAGCUAACGCGUGAAGUUGACCGCCUGGGGAGUACGGCCGCAAGGUUGGAACUCAAAGGAAUUGACGGGGACCCGCACAAGCGGUGGAUGAUGUGGUUUAAUUCGAUGCAACGCGAAAAACCUUACCUACCCUUGACAUGUCUGGAAUCCUGAAGAGAUUUGGGAGUGCUCGAAAGAGAGCCAGAACACAGGUGCUGCAUGGCCGUCGUCAGCUCGUGUCGUGAGAUGUUGGGUUAAGUCCCGCAACGAGCGCAACCCUUGUCAUUAGUUGCUACGAAAGGGCACUCUAAUGAGACUGCCGGUGACAAACCGGAGGAAGGUGGGGAUGACGUCAGGUCAUCAUGGCCCUUAUGGGUAGGGCUACACACGUCAUACAAUGGCCGGUACAGAGGGCUGCCAACCCGCGAGGGGGAGCCAAUCCCAGAAAACCGGUCGUAGUCCGGAUCGUAGUCUGCAACUCGACUGCGUGAAGUCGGAAUCGCUAGUAAUCGCGGAUCAGCUUGCCGCGGUGAAUACGUUCCCGGGUCUUGUACACACCGCCCGUCACACCAUGGGAGCGGGUUCUGCCAGAAGUAGUUAGCCUAACCGCAAGGGGGGCGAUUACCACGGCAGGGUUCGUGACUGGGGUGAAGUCGUAACAAGGUA